GCUAGCUUUGCGGAGUGGUCAAACGCGGAGGACUUAAGACCCUCUCCCUUUGGGUUCGCAGGUUCGAGCCCUGCAGCUAGCA
Molecule: transfer RNA, 82 nt
Filed under: Klebsormidium nitens
Lineage: Eukaryota; Viridiplantae; Streptophyta; Klebsormidiophyceae; Klebsormidiales; Klebsormidiaceae
Description: tRNA-Leu (TAA) (tRNA-Leu-TAA-1-1)
Rfam family: tRNA
About the family: Transfer RNA (tRNA) molecules are approximately 80 nucleotides in length. Their secondary structure includes four short double-helical elements and three loops (D, anti-codon, and T loops). Further hydrogen bonds mediate the characteristic L-shaped molecular structure. tRNAs have two regions of fundamental functional importance: the anti-codon, which is responsible for specific mRNA codon recognition, and the 3' end, to which the tRNAs corresponding amino acid is attached (by aminoacyl-tRNA synthetases). tRNAs cope with the degeneracy of the genetic code in two manners: having more than one tRNA (with a specific anti-codon) for a particular amino acid; and 'wobble' base-pairing, i.e. permitting non-standard base-pairing at the 3rd anti-codon position.
Source: Rfam by way of RNAcentral